GUGGGGAAUAUUGCGCAAUGGGGGAAACCCUGACGCAGCGACGCCGUGUGAGGGAAGAAGGCUUUCGGGUCGUAAACCUCUGUCAGGAAGGAAGAACCUCCCAAGUCCGAAUAGGGCUUGGGACUGACGGUACUUUCAAAGGAAGCACCGGCUAACUCCGUGCCAGCAGCCGCGGUAACACGGAGGGUGCAAGCGUUAAUCGGAAUUAUUGGGCGUAAAGCGCACGUAGGCUGUAGUGUAAGUCAGGGGUGAAAUCCCACGGCUCAAACGUGGAACUGCCUUUGAUACUGCACAAUUUGAAUCCGGGAGAGGGUGGCGGAAUGCCAGGUGUAGGAGUGAAAUCCGUAGAUAUCUGGAGGAACAUCAGUGGCGAAGGCGGCCGCCUGGACCGGUAUUGACGCUGAGGUGCGAAAGCGUGGGGAGCAAACAGGAUUAGAAACCCUUGUAGUCC
RNAcentral lists this ribosomal RNA (451 nucleotides) under uncultured bacterium. RNAcentral describes it as "partial 16S ribosomal RNA". It matches the Rfam family "Bacterial small subunit ribosomal RNA", at positions 354 to 796 of the family's 1533-position model. The record is from RNAcentral.